AUGAUUAAAUAGUUGUCUGUUUUCCUUUAAAGUUCAAAAGUCCUUAUUAAUUUACAAAGCAUAUGAACACAGUAGUUACUAAUUUACGUUGAGUCUCAAAGUUCGCUGCAACGUAAUUCUAGAGGCAUAGACUAAUUUGCCUUUUUGUUUGGUAUGUACAGUAUAAUUACUUAAAAACUCUUUAAAUUAAUAAUUAUUAAUUUAUCGAUAAAUUAAUAACUCUCUAAAUUAAUAAAUUUCUCCAGUCCUGACAUUAUUAAUUUAAAGAAUUUCUACUGUAUAUACUAAAUAUCAUUUUAGUUCCUCAUCAUUAAGGCAACAAUGUAACUUGUAAGUAAUAUGCUUUUGUACCUGCCAAAGAAAUUGAAAGGUAAAAAAAAAUAAAAAAUAAGAUAAGAUACGAAGAAUGCAAAUAAUGAUAAGAAAUUAAGAACAAUAACAUAACGAUAUUCAUAUAGAAUUAAUUUUGUACUUAACUGUUAAAUGCAAGUACAAUAAUACCAAAUGCAUGUUCUAUUUCUAGGAUAGAGACACAUAUGUGGACAAUCUUCAUCAUCAUAGCAUUCCGGAAUUGCUGUGAUUCAAAAGAAAAAUAAUGUCACGUAAAGUGAUCAAAUAUUGUGUUUAAGGCCAUGAUUAUGAUUAAAAUUUCAGAAUCAUGCGAAAAAAUGCUUACUUAAACUUUCAAUUACAACAAGAAAUAGGAAAAUAAAUAUGAUCAUAAUAAGAUAAAUAAACUUAAUAAUUUCAGUCAUAUUUUAUUUCCUCUGCAUGUU
RNAcentral lists this long non-coding RNA (776 nucleotides) under Trifolium pratense (red clover). RNAcentral's name for it is "long non-coding RNA (TPRA_LNC003060)". Lineage: Eukaryota; Viridiplantae; Streptophyta; Magnoliopsida; Fabales; Fabaceae. The record is from RNAcentral.